Molecule: ribosomal RNA, 433 nt
Filed under: uncultured bacterium
Lineage: Bacteria
Description: partial 16S ribosomal RNA
Rfam family: Bacterial small subunit ribosomal RNA
Source: RNAcentral
AACGAACGCUGGCGGCAUGCCUAACACAUGCAAGUCGAACGAGACCUUCGGGUCUAGUGGCGCUCGGGUGCGUACCGCGUGGGAACUUGCCCUUAAGUUAGGUAUCACUCCCCGAAAGGGGUCCUAAUGCCAGUUAAUGUCUUCCGACCAAAGAUUUAUCGCCUUUGGAUGGGGGCGGGUUAGAUUAGCUAGUUGGUAGGGUAAAAGCCUGCCAAGGCGACGAUGCAUGGCUGGUCUGAGAGGAGGCUCAGCAACGCUGGGACUGAGACACGGACCAGACUCCGACGCAAGGGAGGAGUGGGGAGUAUUGGACGAUGGGGGCAGACGUGGCCCAGCAGUGUGGGGGAAGUGAUGAAGGGGUUAGGGUUGUAAAGCCCCUUUACCCGGGGUGAUAAUGACGGUACCGGGAGAAUAAGCACCGGCUAACUCCGUG